GAUGAACGCUGGCGGCGUGCCUAAUACAUGCAAGUCGAGCGAACAGAUAAGGAGCUUGCUCCUUUGACGUUAGCGGCGGACGGGUGAGUAACACGUGGAUAACCUACCUAUAAGACUGGGAUAACUUCGGGAAACCGGAGCUAAAACCGGAUAACAUAUUGAACCGCAUGGUUCAAUAGUGAAAGGCGGCUUUGCUGUCACUUAUAGAUGGAUCCGCGCCGUAUUAGCUAGUUGGUAAGGUAACGGCUUACCAAGGCAACGAUACGUAGCCGACCUGAGAGGGUGAUCGGCCACACUGGAACUGAGACACGGUCCAGACUCCUACGGGAGGCAGCAGUAGGGAAUCUUCCGCAAUGGGCGAAAGCCUGACGGAGCAACGCCGCGUGAGUGAUGAAGGUCUUCGGAUCGUAAAACUCUGUUAUCAGGGAAGAACAAAUGUGUAAGUAUCUGUGCACAUCUUGACGGUACCUGAUCAGAAAGCCACGGCUAACUACGUG
Molecule: ribosomal RNA, 497 nt
Filed under: uncultured bacterium
Lineage: Bacteria
Description: partial 16S ribosomal RNA
Rfam family: Bacterial small subunit ribosomal RNA
Source: RNAcentral